CUUGCACAAAGCGUGGCUCACAUCCUACUGGUGGUCUGAAAAGGUAUAUAAAGGCUCUCUGAACACUUCAGUCUCAUCAACAGCCGUUCAUCCUCUACACUUCUCCAGACCUGGUUUAUCUGCACCACAAAAGAUGUAUUCAGGAUCACAGCUCAUGAGCAGUGGAUGUUCUUCCCCCUGCGAGGUGACCUGCCCGCAGCCCUGCGCCGAAGCCUACAGCGAGCCCUGCGUCACCUCCUGCGGGGACUCCCGCGCCGUGGUGUACCCCCCACCCGUUGUUAUCCACUUCCCAGGCCCCAUCCUCAGCUCCUGCCCACAGGAGAGCUUCGUGGGCACCUCGUUCCCAAUAUCCAUUGGGAGGGGGUAUUCGGGGUCACUGGGCUCUGCUGAAUCAGGGGGCUCAUUUAAUGUUGGGGGUGCCUAUGGCGGAAGCAGCUCAUUUGGAAUGGGGGGCUCAUACGGAGGAGGCAGUUCCCUGGGGAUGGGGGGCUCGUACGGUGGAGGCAGUUCCCUGGGGAUGGGGGGCUCAUACGGAGGAGGCAGUUCCCUAGGAAUGGGGGGCUCAUACGGAGGUGGUAGGUCAUUUGGCUCUGGGGGUUCAUUCAGAGGCAGAAGAUCCUUCAGCUCCAGGACCUGCUACGGAGGGGGCAUGGGAGGCUCCUAUGGAGGAGGCAUUGGAAGCUCCUACGGAGGAGGCAGCUCCUACGGUGGGGGCUCCUAUGGAGGAGGACGUUCCUUUGGCACGGGAAGCUGUCAGGGUGCCGGCAGCUCCUCUGGUUACAGGAGGUCUGUCGUAGGAAGCUGUAGCUCUGGUAACUUCUGAAGAGGCAACGUCUCCUGCUCCAGCACCCCUGGCCCAUGCUGACCUCGCAAGGGAAACUGCAGCCCGGUGAUACCAAGCACUUCUCUUUGCUGGCACAUGUGGAGCUGCAGCCCUGCCCAAAGGCCUGGGAAAUGUCCUUCGUGCUCUGUGUGACUGCUUUCACAAAACGCAUGCUGUAUUUCCCUGUCAUUAAAAAUAUGUUGCAUCACUA
This is a long non-coding RNA of Cygnus olor (mute swan), 1034 nucleotides long. RefSeq lists it as uncharacterized. NCBI's taxonomy places the organism in Eukaryota, Metazoa, Chordata, Aves, Anseriformes, Anatidae. The transcript has 2 exons. The record is from RefSeq and is a predicted model, not a curated record.